Molecule: ribosomal RNA, 447 nt
Filed under: uncultured bacterium
Lineage: Bacteria
Description: bacterial SSU rRNA
Rfam family: Bacterial small subunit ribosomal RNA
Source: RNAcentral
UGCCCAGACUCCUACGGGAGGCAGCAGUGGGGAAUAUUGCACAAUGGGGGAAACCCUGAUGCAGCAACGCCGCGUGAGUGAAGAAGUAUUUCGGUAUGUAAAGCUCUAUCAGCAGGGAAGAAGAUGACGGUACCUGAAUAAGAAGCCCCGGCUAACUACGUGCCAGCAGCCGCGGUAAUACGUAGGGGGCAAGCGUUAUCCGGAUUUACUGGGUGUAAAGGGAGCGCAGACGGCAGUGCAAGUCUGGAGUGAAAGCCCGGGGCCCAACCCCGGAACUGCUUUGGAAACUGUGCAGCUCGAGUGCAGGAGAGGUAAGCGGAAUUCCUAGUGUAGCGGUGAAAUGCGUAGAUAUUAGGAGGAACACCAGUGGCGAAGGCGGCUUACUGGACUGUAACUGACGUUGAGGCUCGAAAGCGUGGGGAGCAAGCAGGAUUAGAUACCCUAGUG